RNAcentral lists this ribosomal RNA (295 nucleotides) under uncultured bacterium. RNAcentral describes it as "partial 16S ribosomal RNA". RNAcentral also lists the same sequence under 2 other names. The record is from RNAcentral.
GGACUACUGGGGUAUCUAAUCCCGUUCGCUCCCCUGGCUUUCGCGCCUCAGCGUCAGAAUACGAGUCCAGGACCUUGCUUUCGCCGUUGGCGUUCCGUCCGAUCUCAACGCAUUUCACCGCUCCACCGGACGUUCCAGGUCCCCCUCCUCGCCUCGAGACACGGCCGUAUCGAAGCCCGUUCCCCGGUUGAGCCGGGGGCUUUAAACUCCGACGCGCCGAUCCGCCUACGCGCCCUUUAAGCCCAAUGAUUCCGAAUAACGUUUGCACGGUUCGUCUUACCGCGGCUGCUGGCAC